Molecule: ribosomal RNA, 365 nt
Filed under: Notophthalmus viridescens (eastern newt)
Lineage: Eukaryota; Metazoa; Chordata; Amphibia; Caudata; Salamandridae
Description: partial 16S ribosomal RNA
Source: RNAcentral
CAAAGCUCAACUUAAUAAUACCUUAUUAUCCUAAUAAAAAAUCUAAAUUUACAAAAUAUAUCAAGUCGAUCUAUAUAAUAGAUGAGUUUAUACUAGAAUGAGUAAUAAGAACUUCCUCUCUUUAUAUGCAUGUGUAAAUCAGAACGAAAAAAUCACUGAUAAUUAACGAUUAACAAUACCACACAACAAGAUAAAUAAAUUUAAUUUAUCGUUAACCCAACACAGGAGCAUAAAAGAAAGAUUAAAAGAUUAAAAAGGAACUCGGCAAUCAGGAACUUCGCCUGUUUACCAAAAACAUCGCCUCUUGCAAUAUAAAGUAUAAGAGGUCCCGCCUGCCCANNGACAAUUUCAACGGCCGCGNUAUC